RNAcentral lists this long non-coding RNA (253 nucleotides) under Musa acuminata (dwarf banana). RNAcentral's name for it is "long non-coding RNA (MACU_LNC003999)". Lineage: Eukaryota; Viridiplantae; Streptophyta; Magnoliopsida; Zingiberales; Musaceae. The record is from RNAcentral.
GGGCAAGGGUCCGGCUUGCCCCGUCUUGCUUGAUUCGCCACGAUGCUUUGCCAUGGCGAAGUUGCAAAGUUCGUUCGCUGUUCGCUCGAAGUGCUUGCCCGCUCUGAUACCACAAUGUCACGACCUUAGCUGGAAUUGCCUAAGGUGUGAGGCACCCUUGCGGCCAAAGACGCGAACUUAGCUUGCGUUGCCUAAGUCGCGAGUUACCCUUGUGGCAAAGACGCGAACUUAGCUUGCGUUGCCUAAGUCGCGC